RNAcentral lists this transfer RNA (85 nucleotides) under Felis catus (domestic cat). It matches the Rfam family "tRNA". From Rfam's summary of the family: Transfer RNA (tRNA) molecules are approximately 80 nucleotides in length. Their secondary structure includes four short double-helical elements and three loops (D, anti-codon, and T loops). Lineage: Eukaryota; Metazoa; Chordata; Mammalia; Carnivora; Felidae. The record is from Rfam by way of RNAcentral.
GCCUGGGUGGCUCAGCUGUUUGAGCAUCUGACUGGAGCUCAGGUCACAGUCUUGUGGUUCGUGAGUUCCAGCCCCACAUCAGGCU